RNAcentral lists this ribosomal RNA (253 nucleotides) under uncultured bacterium. Its description in RNAcentral is "partial 16S ribosomal RNA". It matches the Rfam family "Bacterial small subunit ribosomal RNA", at positions 524 to 776 of the family's 1533-position model. The record is from RNAcentral.
UACAGAGGGUGCGAGCGUUAAUCGGAAUUACUGGGCGUAAAGCGUGCGUAGACGGUAAUGUAAGUCAGAUGUGAAAGCCCCGGGCUCAACCUGGGAAUGGCGAUGGAUACUGGCUCGCUAGAGUGCGGUAGAGGAGAGUGGAAUUCCCGGUGUAGCAGUGAAAUGCGUAGAGAUCGGGAGGAACAUCAGUUGCGAAGGCGGCUCUCUGGACCAGCACUGACACUGAGGCACGAAAGCGUGGGGAGCAAACAGG